UCGAACGGCAGCACGGGGGCAACCCUGGUGGCGAGUGGCGAACGGGUGAGUAAUACAUCGGAACGUGCCCAGUAGUGGGGGAUAGCCCGGCGAAAGCCGGAUUAAUACCGCAUACGACCUACGGGUGAAAGCGGGGGACCGCAAGGCCUCGCGCUAUUGGAGCGGCCGAUGUCAGAUUAGGUUGUUGGUGGGGUAAAGGCCUACCAAGCCGACGAUCUGUAGCUGGUCUGAGAGGACGACCAGCCACACUGGGACUGAGACACGGCCCAGACUCCUACGGGAGGCAGCAGUGGGGAAUUUUGGACAAUGGGGGCAACCCUGAUCCAGCCAUGCCGCGUGCGGGAAGAAGGCCUUCGGGUUGUAAACCGCUUUUGUCAGGGAAGAAAUCUUUUGGGCUAAUACCCCGGAGGGAUGACGGUACCUGAAGAAUAAGCACCGGCUAACUACGUGCCAGCAGCCGCGGUAAUACGUAGGGUGCAAGCGUUAAUCGGAAUUACUGGGCGUAAAGCGUGCGCAGGCGGUUGUGCAAGACAGAUGUGAAAUCCCCGGGCUUAACCUGGGAACUGCAUUUGUGACUGCACAGCUGGAGUGCGGCAGAGGGGGAUGGAAUUCCGCGUGUAGCAGUGAAAUGCGUAGAUUUGCGGAGGAACACCGAUGGCGAAGGCAAUCCCCUGGGCCUGCACUGACGCUCAUGCACGAAAGCGUGGGGAAGCAAACAGGAUUAGAUACC
Molecule: ribosomal RNA, 730 nt
Filed under: uncultured Rubrivivax sp.
Lineage: Bacteria; Pseudomonadati; Pseudomonadota; Betaproteobacteria; Burkholderiales; Sphaerotilaceae
Description: bacterial SSU rRNA
Rfam family: Bacterial small subunit ribosomal RNA
Source: RNAcentral